RNAcentral lists this long non-coding RNA (525 nucleotides) under Penaeus japonicus. RNAcentral describes it as "uncharacterized LOC122248022". Lineage: Eukaryota; Metazoa; Arthropoda; Malacostraca; Decapoda; Penaeidae. The record is from RNAcentral.
GGAAAAACAAACAAACAAACAAACGAAGAUUUCAAAGAAAACAAAGAUGAAGAAAAAAGGUUAUGAAGACAAACAAAAUAGAGAAAAAGAUGAAGACGAAGAGAACACGAGGGGGAGAAAACAAAGAUUAAGGAAUAAAUAGAACCGCGAGUAGAUGCCACAAGAAUUAUGACGUGACGACGAAGGAAAAAAAGAUUAUGAAAAAAAAGAAAAAUGAAAUAAAUGAUAGAAAAUAAGAAAAACAACAAUUAUGACACGGAAAAUGAACGAGAAAAAACGAAAUUGAAGAUGAAGACAAAAUUGAAAAGAGAAAAACUGAACAACAACGUGAAAUCCCUUCCGUUUCAAUUCAAAGUCAUGAGCAUUUAAUCAAAACAUUUACAUUAAUUUUUUAAGUCUUUUAUCCAAAUUUAUUCAAAAACCUUGAUUCCGAGAAGAAUCAAGUACUAAUAAACAUGCGUGGACAUGCAUUCCUAAAUAUGUAAAUUAGAUCAUAUCAAAAACAAUAAAGCUAGUCCACGUAAA